This 245-nucleotide ribosomal RNA is filed under the name uncultured bacterium. Its description in RNAcentral is "partial 16S ribosomal RNA". It matches the Rfam family "Bacterial small subunit ribosomal RNA", at positions 524 to 768 of the family's 1533-position model. The record is from RNAcentral.
UACAGAGGUCUCAAGCGUUGUUCGGAUUCAUUGGGCGUAAAGGGUGCGUAGGUGGUGCCGUAAGUCGGAUGUGAGAUCCCGGAGCACAACUCCGGAACUGCAUUCGAUACUGCGGUGCUCGAGGACUGGAGAGGAGAUUGGAAUUCACGGUGUAGCAGUGAAAUGCGUAGAUAUCGUGAGGAAGACCAGUGGCGAAGGCGGAUCUCUGGACAGUUCCUGACACUGAGGCACGAAGGCCAGGGGAG